This 445-nucleotide ribosomal RNA is filed under the name uncultured bacterium. Its description in RNAcentral is "bacterial SSU rRNA". It matches the Rfam family "Bacterial small subunit ribosomal RNA", at positions 339 to 796 of the family's 1533-position model. The record is from RNAcentral.
CUACGGGAGGCAGCAGUGGGGAAUAUUGCACAAUGGGCGGAAGCCUGAUGCAGCGACGCCGCGUGAGGGAUGACGGCCUUCGGGUUGUAAACCUCUUUCAGCAGGGAAGAAGCGAAAGUGACGGUACCUGCAGAAGAAGCACCGGCUAACUACGUGCCAGCAGCCGCGGUAAUACGUAGGGUGCGAGCGUUGUCCGGAAUUAUUGGGCGUAAAGAGCUUGUAGGUGGUUUGUCGCGUCUGCUGUGAAAAUCCGGGGCUCAACCCCGGACUUGCAGUGGGUACGGGCAGACUAGAGUGUGGUAGGGGAGACUGGAAUUCCUGGUGUAGCGGUGGAAUGCGCAGAUAUCAGGAGGAACACCGAUGGCGAAGGCAGGUCUCUGGGCCAUUACUGACACUGAGAAGCGAAAGCAUGGGGAGCGAACAGGAUUAGAUACCCGUGUAGUCC